Molecule: ribosomal RNA, 537 nt
Filed under: uncultured Bacillus sp.
Lineage: Bacteria; Bacillati; Bacillota; Bacilli; Caryophanales; Bacillaceae
Description: bacterial SSU rRNA
Rfam family: Bacterial small subunit ribosomal RNA
Source: RNAcentral
UUAGAGUUUGAUCCUGGCUCAGGACGAACGCUGGCGGCGUGCCUAAUACACGCAAGUCGAGCGGACAGAGGGGAGCUUGCUCCCUGAUGUUAGCGGCGGACGGGUGAGUAACACGUGGGUAACCUGCCUGUAAGACUGGGAUAACUCCGGGAAACCGGAGCUAAUACCGGAUAGUUCCUUGAACCGCAUGGUUCAAGGAUGAAAGACGGUUUCGGCUGUCACUUACAGAUGGACCCGCGGCGCAUUAGCUAGUUGGUGGGGUAAUGGCUCACCAAGGCGACGAUGCGUAGCCGACCUGAGAGGGUGAUCGGCCACACUGGGAUUGAGACACGGCCCAGACUCCUACGGGAGGCAGCAGUAGGGAAUCUUCCGCAAUGGACGAAAGUCUGACGGAGCAACGCCGCGUGAGUGAUGAAGGUUUUCGGAUCGUAAAGCUCUGUUGUUAGGGAAGAACAAGUGCGAGAGUAACUGCUCGCACCUUGACGGUACCUAACCAGAAAGCCACGGCUAACUACGUGCCAGCAGCCGCGGUAAUAC